UGGGGAAUAUUGGACAAUGGGCGCAAGCCUGAUCCAGCAAUGCCGCGUGAGUGAUGAAGGCCUUAGGGUUGUAAAGCUCUUUCGCCGAUGACGAUGAUGACGGUAAUCGGAGAAGAAGCCCCGGCUAACUUCGUGCCAGCAGCCGCGGUAAUACGAAGGGGGCUAGCGUUGUUCGGAGUUACUGGGCGUAAAGGGCGCGUAGGCGGCCAGUUUAGUCAGGCGUGAAAGCCCGGGGCUCAACCCCGGAGGUGCGCUUGAUACUGACAGGCUUGAGUGCGGGAGAGGAUGGUGGAAUUCCCAGUGUAGAGGUGAAAUUCGUAGAUAUUGGGAAGAACACCGGUGGCGAAGGCGGCCAUCUGGACCGUAACUGACGCUGAGGCGCGAAAGCGUGGGGAGCAAACAGGAUUAGAUACCCCUGUAGUCC
Molecule: ribosomal RNA, 424 nt
Filed under: uncultured bacterium
Lineage: Bacteria
Description: bacterial SSU rRNA
Rfam family: Bacterial small subunit ribosomal RNA
Source: RNAcentral